GGGUGGGAUAUGUGUCUUGCAUAGUUUACUCUGCAAAGGUGAAUUGGGCCUUUUGCCCCCACCCU
RNAcentral lists this transfer RNA (65 nucleotides) under Paragonimus heterotremus. RNAcentral describes it as "tRNA-Cys". Lineage: Eukaryota; Metazoa; Platyhelminthes; Trematoda; Plagiorchiida; Troglotrematidae. The record is from RNAcentral.